This 312-nucleotide ribosomal RNA is filed under the name Phoma sp. RNAcentral's name for it is "SSU rRNA". It matches the Rfam family "Eukaryotic small subunit ribosomal RNA", at positions 57 to 374 of the family's 1831-position model. The record is from RNAcentral. Lineage: Eukaryota; Fungi; Ascomycota; Dothideomycetes; Pleosporales; Didymellaceae.
GUCUAGUAUAGCAAUUAUACCGUGAAACUGCGAAUGGCUCAUUAAAUCAGUUAUCGUUUAUUUGAUAGUACCUUACUACUUGGAUAACCGUGGUAAUUCUAGAGCUAAUACAUGCUGAAAACCCCAACUUCGGGAGGGGUGUAUUUAUUAGAUAAAAAACCAACGCCCUUCGGGGCUUCUUGGUGAUUCAUGAUAACUUCACGGAUCGCAUGGCCUUGCGCCGGCGACGGUUCAUUCAAAUUUCUGCCCUAUCAACUUUCGAUGGUAAGGUAUUGGCUUACCAUGGUUUCAACGGGUAAACGGGGGAAUAAA